This is a non-coding RNA of Arachis ipaensis, 343 nucleotides long. The record is from RefSeq and is a predicted model, not a curated record. Lineage: Eukaryota; Viridiplantae; Streptophyta; Magnoliopsida; Fabales; Fabaceae.
UUUCUUUUAGGAAUGGUUUUGAUAUGGCAUUAGUGAUGUUUUUAUUUUGUGUGUUGCAGGUUAACCCCAUUUUACAAUAUGAAGGAUGUAGUGACAAAGCUGCAAGAAUAUGUAGACAACAUUAAUCUCAACAUACAUAAGCUAGAAACACGGGAUCCUAUUUCAAAAUAUGUCUUGCCUGAUGAUGACUUAAGGGGAAGGUUUGACUUAUUUAUCCUCCACUAUAUAUAGCUAUUAAGGUUUGGAUCUCUUGAUUUUUAAUUUUCACGUAUGUGUAGCUAUUAAGGCUUCCUUUGCAUUCUUCUACAGCCUUACUCUAACUUUUGAUGAGGAAAAUUUUGGA